AAGCAGCGGUCUGGGACUAUACCAGGACGCCUCACUGCAGCCUUGUCUCGUCUCUGUUUCCCAAUACAACAUCUGGUGACCCCGACGUGAUCCAGACACAGGACCCCCGACUCAUCGGCUGGCUUAGCCUUGGUGCACCUCAGCGCAACGCGCUCCCUCAUUGCUGCAGUAUUACAACACAUCCGAACCCACAAACCGACCCUUUUUAUCUAGAGCCCAGCGCCAUUAUAGACAGACCG
Molecule: long non-coding RNA, 239 nt
Organism: Mauremys reevesii (Reeves's turtle)
Lineage: Eukaryota; Metazoa; Chordata; Testudines; Geoemydidae
Exons: 3
Source: RefSeq, a predicted model, not a curated record